RNAcentral lists this ribosomal RNA (452 nucleotides) under uncultured bacterium. RNAcentral describes it as "bacterial SSU rRNA". It matches the Rfam family "Bacterial small subunit ribosomal RNA", at positions 9 to 507 of the family's 1533-position model. The record is from RNAcentral.
CGAGUUUGAUCCUGGCUCAGAACGAACGCUGGCGGCAGGCCUAACACAUGCAAGUCGAGCGCGCCCUUCGGGGUGAGCGGCGGACGGGUGAGUAACGCGUGGGAACGUACCCUUUGCUACGGAAUAGUCUCGGGAAACUGGGGGUAAUACCGUAUGAGCCCUUCGGGGGAAAGAUUUAUCGGCAAAGGAUCGGCCCGCGUUGGAUUAGGUAGUUGGUGGGGUAAUGGCCCACCAAGCCGACGAUCCAUAGCUGGUUUGAGAGGAUGAUCAGCCACACUGGGACUGAGACACGGCCCAGACUCCUACGGGAGGCAGCAGUGGGGAAUCUUAGACAUGGGCGCAAGCCUGAUCUAGCCAUGCCGCGUGAGCGAUGAAGGCCUUAGGGUUGUAAAGCUCUUUCGUGGGGGAAGAUAAUGACUGUACCCCAAGAAGAAGCCCCGGCUAACUCCGUG